AUACGUAGGUGGCAAGCGUUAUCCGGAAUUACUGGGUGUAAAGGGCGUGUAGGCGGCCUUAUAAGUUGGGUGUUUAAUUCCCGGGCUCAACCCGGGGUUGUCACUUAAAACUGUAGGGCUUGAGGCUCAGAGAGGACAGUGGAAUUCCUAGUGUAGCGGUAAAAUGCGUAGAUAUUAGGAGGAACACCAGUGGCGAAGGCGGCUGUCUGGCUGAGUACUGACGCUGAUGCGCGAAAGCGUGGGGAGCAAACAGGAUUAGAUACCCUGGUAGUCCACGCUGUAAACGAUGAAUACUAGGUGUAGGGGGUAUCGACCCCCUCUGCGCCGCAGUCAACACAUUAAGUAUUCCACCUGGGGAGUACGGCCGCAAGGCUGAA
RNAcentral lists this ribosomal RNA (377 nucleotides) under uncultured bacterium. RNAcentral's name for it is "bacterial SSU rRNA". It matches the Rfam family "Bacterial small subunit ribosomal RNA", at positions 523 to 898 of the family's 1533-position model. The record is from RNAcentral.